Molecule: ribosomal RNA, 420 nt
Filed under: uncultured bacterium
Lineage: Bacteria
Description: bacterial SSU rRNA
Rfam family: Bacterial small subunit ribosomal RNA
Source: RNAcentral
GAAUAUUGGUCAAUGGGCGCAAGCCUGAACCAGCCAUGCCGCGUGCAGGAAGAAGGUCCUAUGGAUUGUAAACCGCUUUUAUUUGGGAAUAAACCUCUUUACGUGUAGAGAGCUGAAGGUACCAAAUGAAUAAGCACCGGCUAACUCCGUGCCAGCAGCCGCGGUAAUACGGAGGGUGCAAGCGUUAUCCGGAAUCAUUGGGUUUAAAGGGUCCGCAGGCGGACUUAUAAGUCAGUGGUGAAAUCCUACAGCUUAACUGUAGAACUGCCAUUGAUACUGUAAGUCUUGAAUUCGGUCGAAGUGGGCGGAAUGUGACAUGUAGCGGUGAAAUGCUUAGAUAUGUCACAGAACACCGAUAGCGAAGGCAGCUCACUAGGCCUGGAUUGACGCUCAGGGACGAAAGCGUGGGGAGCAAACAGG